RNAcentral lists this small RNA (333 nucleotides) under Bacillus sp. MUM 116. RNAcentral describes it as "cspA thermoregulator". It matches the Rfam family "cspA thermoregulator". The record is from Rfam by way of RNAcentral. Lineage: Bacteria; Bacillati; Bacillota; Bacilli; Caryophanales; Bacillaceae.
CUUGGCAAAAUUUUUGCCCUAUUUGCUGCAUGAUAAUUUAUUUUAUUUAGGCGCCAAUGAUGGUGUCUUGAAAGGCUUAGGAGGAAGAAGUACAUGCAAAACGGUAAAGUAAAAUGGUUCAACAAUGAAAAAGGUUUCGGUUUUAUCGAAGUUGAAGGCGGAGACGAUGUAUUCGUACACUUCAGCGCUAUCCAAGGCGAAGGCUUCAAAGCUUUAGAAGAAGGUCAAGAAGUUUCUUUUGAAAUCGUAGAAGGAAACCGUGGACCACAAGCUGCUAACGUGGUAAAACUUUAAUCUAAAAUAAUCUAAGGCUGGCCAUUCGCCAGCCUUUUU